GAGUUUGAUCGUGGCUCAGAUUGAACGCUGGCGGCAUGCCUUACACAUGCAAGUCGAACGGCAGCAUGAUCUAGCUUGCUAGAUUGAUGGCGAGUGGCGAACGGGUGAGUAAUACAUCGGAACGUGCCCUGUAGUGGGGAGUAACUAGUCGAAAGAAUUAGUCUAAUAACCGCCAUACGACCUGAGGGUGGAAAGUAGGGGGACC
RNAcentral lists this ribosomal RNA (205 nucleotides) under uncultured microorganism. Its description in RNAcentral is "partial 16S ribosomal RNA". It matches the Rfam family "Bacterial small subunit ribosomal RNA", at positions 9 to 212 of the family's 1533-position model. The record is from RNAcentral.